UACGUAGGGCGCAAGCGUUAUCCGGAAUUAUUGGGCGUAAAGAGCUCGUAGGCGGUUUGUCGCGUCUGCCGUGAAAGUCCGGGGCUCAACUCCGGAUCUGCGGUGGGUACGGGCAGACUAGAGUGAUGUAGGGGAGACUGGAAUUCCUGGUGUAGCGGUGAAAUGCGCAGAUAUCAGGAGGAACACCGAUGGCGAAGGCGGGUCUCUGGGCCGAUACUGACGCUGAGGAGCGAAAGCGUGGGGAGCAAACAGG
RNAcentral lists this ribosomal RNA (253 nucleotides) under uncultured bacterium. RNAcentral's name for it is "partial 16S ribosomal RNA". It matches the Rfam family "Bacterial small subunit ribosomal RNA", at positions 524 to 776 of the family's 1533-position model. The record is from RNAcentral.